Molecule: ribosomal RNA, 467 nt
Filed under: uncultured bacterium
Lineage: Bacteria
Description: partial 16S ribosomal RNA
Rfam family: Bacterial small subunit ribosomal RNA
Source: RNAcentral
GACGAACGCUGGCGGCGUGCUUAACACAUGCAAGUCGAACGGAAAGGCCCUGCUUUUGUGGGGUGCUCGAGUGGCGAACGGGUGAGUAACACGUGAGUAACCUGCCCUUGACUUUGGGAUAACUUCAGGAAACUGGGGCUAAUACCGGAUAGGAGCUCCUGCUGCAUGGUGGGGGUUGGAAAGUUUCGGCGGUUGGGGAUGGACUCGCGGCUGAUCAGCUUGUUGGUGGGGUAGUGGCUUACCAAGGCUUUGACGGGUAGCCGGCCUGGGAGGGUGACCGGCCACAUUGGGACUGAGAUACGGCCCAGACUCCUACGGGAGGCAGCGGUGGGGAAUAUUGCACGAUGGGCGGAAGCGUGAGGCAGCAACGCCGCGUGCGGGAUGACGGCCUUCGGGUUGGAAACCGCUUUCGCCUGUGACGAAGCGUGAGUGAGGGUAAUGGGGAAAGAAGCACCGGCUAACUACGU